This 370-nucleotide ribosomal RNA is filed under the name uncultured organism. RNAcentral's name for it is "partial 16S ribosomal RNA". It matches the Rfam family "Bacterial small subunit ribosomal RNA", at positions 527 to 896 of the family's 1533-position model. The record is from RNAcentral.
GAAGGGGGCUAGCGUUGUUCGGAAUUACUGGGGCGUAAAGCGAGUGUAGGUGGUUGUCAUAGUCAGGUGUGAAAGCCUUGAGCUCAACUCAAGAAAUGCACUUGAUACUGGGCGACUAGAGGACUGGAGAGGAUAGUGGAAUUCCCAGUGUAGUGGUGAAAUACGUAGAGAUUGGGAAGAACACCAGUGGCGAAGGCGGCUAUCUGGACGGUUUCUGACACUAAGACUCGAAAGCGUGGGGAGCAAACAGGAUUAGAUACCCUGGUAGUCCACGCCGUAAACGAUGGGUGCUAGACGUUGGCGAGCUUGCUCGUCAGUGUCGCAGCUAACGCGUUAAGCACCCCGCCUGGGGAGUACGGCCGCAAGGUUG